ACUACGGGUGGCAGCAGUGGGGAAUAUUGGGCAAUGGGCGCAAGUCUGACCCAGCAACGCCGCGUGAAGGAAGAAGGCUUUCGGGUUGUAAACUUCUUUUAUUGAGGACGAAACAAAUGACGGUAAUCAAUGAACAAGCCACGGCUAACUACGUGCCAGGAGCCGCGGUAAUACGUAGGUGGCAAGCGUUUUCCGGAUUUACGGGGAGUAAAGGCCGGGUAGGCGGGACGGAAAGUCAGAGGGGAAAACCAUGGGCUAAACCCGUGGCCUGCAUUUGAAACUGGGGUUCUGGUGUGAUGGAGGGGCAGGCGGAAUUCCGUGUGUAGCGGGGAAAGGCGUAGAUAUACGGGGGAACACCAGUGGCGAAGGCGGCCUGCUGGACAUUAACUGACGCUGAGGCGCGAAAGCGUGGGAGGCAAACAGGAUUAGAUACCCUGUAGUC
Molecule: ribosomal RNA, 442 nt
Filed under: uncultured bacterium
Lineage: Bacteria
Description: partial 16S ribosomal RNA
Rfam family: Bacterial small subunit ribosomal RNA
Source: RNAcentral